UACGUAGGGGGCAAGCGUUGUCCGGAUUUAUUGGGCGUAAAGAGCGUGUAGGCGGCCAUGUAGGUCCGUUGUGAAAACUCGAGGCUCAACCUCGAGACGCCGAUGGAAACCAUGUGGCUAGAGUCCGGAAGAGGAGAGUGGAAUUCCUGGUGUAGCGGUGAAAUGCGCAGAUAUCAGGAAGAACACCAAUGGCGAAGGCAGCUCUCUGGGACGGUACUGACGCUGAGACGCGAAAGCGUGGGGAGCGAACAGG
This 253-nucleotide ribosomal RNA is filed under the name uncultured bacterium. Its description in RNAcentral is "partial 16S ribosomal RNA". It matches the Rfam family "Bacterial small subunit ribosomal RNA", at positions 524 to 776 of the family's 1533-position model. The record is from RNAcentral.